Molecule: RNA transcript, 2489 nt
Organism: Chenopodium quinoa (quinoa)
Lineage: Eukaryota; Viridiplantae; Streptophyta; Magnoliopsida; Caryophyllales; Amaranthaceae
Gene name: aberrant root formation protein 4-like
Exons: 15
Source: RefSeq, a predicted model, not a curated record
CGCGAAUUCACUGGAAAUUUUACUCCAAAAUCCCAACAUUGAGCAGCAAUAGAAUCGCGCUAAAACUCAGCACAAAGCUUCAACAAUGUCAGCACCAUCAGAAGAAACAUCUACAGCUUCUCCUUCUUCGCAAUCCUUGAUUCUUCGCCUCCAACAAUCCCUUGACUCCUGCUCCAAGGCAGAAGAAGAUGGUGAUAUUCGUCAAUCGGAACAAGUAAUUUCUGGGAUUGUUGAGUUUCUCAGCUCAAUUUCUGAUGCUGCUAUUUCAGAUCCUGAUGAUGAAGAAAAUCGAAACAAUUCAAUCGUUGUUCUUACGCAUAUUCAUUCUUUCCUCUCAAAUCCUUCUCUUGAUCAGGCUAUUGUUGAUGCACUUUCAUUUGAGAUGCCCAAGGCUAUUGCCAAGUUUGCAGGAGUGUCCCAGAGGUGCCGUGAAAUUGUUGAAAGUGUUAUUGAUCACUUCACAACAAAAUGUAGCCCACGCGACAUGAUUUCAGUGUUCUCUGAGGCAUUGGAUUCCUAUGGGAAAACAACUGAUGCAUCUGGUUAUGUUUCUGCUCUUCUAUGCGGGGUCUCUAAAGCAUUUCUCUCCAUACGUAGACGUCAGGCUGAACAAAUUAAAGUUGCUCUUCCCAUUAUCCUUAAUGUUGUGAAGGCUGCGUCUUUCGAUUUGGAUGAUAGAGAUAUAGGCUUCAAGGAUUUGUUUGAAGGAGCUAUUAGCAUUGCCAAUUCCAUGCUAGAAGCAUGUAAAAAAUUGGAGGAUGGAGCAAAUGGACAACUUCGUGGUUUACUCAGCUUGUAUGUUUUACAAAUCAUGACUGUUGUUUCAAUCAGCGCGGGGGAUGAAAUUUCGUCUUGUCUUUCCUUUGUUCAAACAUUAUCAAGCUUCUUUCCGUAUUGUGGUUUAUCAUAUGCGGAUCUUGUAUGUGGCCUUGGAGUUGAUCCACUUAUCAAUCUUAUACGUGGUGAUGAAACGGAUGAUUAUAUGGAUUGCUUUUGCUAUGUCAAUCAUGGAGCAGUGCUUUCAGUGAUUUGGGGGCAUAUAUCUGAUGAAGUCCCUCAGGCAGCUGGGCAGGAUGUCAGUCUUCUUAAGAAUGAUCUUAGGACCUCCCAAAGUAGAAGAUGGUCAACUAUAGGCAUGAUGAAGUACAUAUUCUCUUUAGGUGAGCUGCCUUGGGUCUUAAAGAAACAUGCGGCAGACUUCUUGCUGGUCAUCACAGAAAACAGUGAACAAGUUGUGAACGAAGACAUGAUAUGCUCAUCCUUUACACCCAGCCUUAUUUCUACUCUGCAGGCUAUUCUGUCAGUCAUCAUGUAUGCUCCAGAUGCUGAGUUAAGAAAGAUGGCUUUUGCUACCUUAAAAAGGGUUCUUGCUGAUAAUCCAGCUUCUUUAAGGCUAGACAUAAUGCAGGUCUUGGUUAAAUCUAGCACCUCUUCAUCCAUGGUGGCAAUACUUUUAGAUUGCGUUAGGGAGAAUCUUCGAAAUGAUUAUCUUAAACUGCGAGAAGAGAAAGUGUCUUCUAGCUGCACUUUUUGGAAUGCUAGCAUACUUGAAUUGGUAGAAUUUAUUUUGAGACCCCCCAAUGGAGGACCACCUUCCCUCCCUCAGCAAAGUGAUGCGGUUCUUUCAGCUCUUAACCUGUAUAGAUAUGUUCUAAUAGCAGAGAAAACAGGGAAGACGAACUUCACAGGAGUUGUGUCUAGAAACAAAUUAGAGGAGGUGUACAACAAGUGGCUCUUGCCUCUAAGAACUUUGGUGAUGAGCAUAAAUGCAGAAACCAAAAAGGGUGACAAGCAACUUGCAAUGGACAUAAUGUGUGGAUUAAACCCUCUUGAGCUUGUUUUGUACCACUGUAUUGAACUUGUUGAAGAGAGCAUCAGACAGUCAUGAUGGUUGGUGACUCAAACUUGAAUGUCCCCCUUAUCUUGGCUGUUUUCGUUAUACAUUUAUAUAAUAUUGUUCUUUUGUUCCCCUCGUCAUCAGGAUUAGUUGGGGGUUAGAUUAUUAAACUCUUCAAGAUACCUCUGUUGUUAAAGCUAUCAACACUACUCAUCAUUGAUUCUUUACAUACUGAAUGGAACAAUUGAUUUUUGAAUUUUGAAGGUAAACCUCUCAGGUCUUGCAAGGAAGCUGAAGCCGAGAGCCCGGGCUCGAUUUUAGCCGUAAGCGCUGUCCUGUGGACCUGUGAAUAAUUCUGAAACAUUUGCGUCUUUUUUUUUUACCUUUGGUUUUGUGAAAGUACAGGUAUAAGAGGGAUAAGUUUAUUUUAUUGUUUCAGGAAAUAAAAAGUAUAGGUUAUAGACAAAUUCAUGAUUCCGAGAGGGUGAACAGCUUACCUGACAUGAUAUACAAAAUCAAUCAUGAUUCCCGCCCCCUUAUAAAUAAUGCAUCUUUAUCAGCCAUUACAUACCUACUUGCAAAAAUAUGCUUAGAGAGUGGAUUUGUUUCCGUUUUUUAAACUUUAGACUCAAGCAAUGUCUAGUUGACUCCA